Long non-coding RNA from Branchiostoma floridae (Florida lancelet), 1285 nucleotides. RefSeq lists it as uncharacterized. The record is from RefSeq and is a predicted model, not a curated record. NCBI's taxonomy places the organism in Eukaryota, Metazoa, Chordata, Leptocardii, Amphioxiformes, Branchiostomatidae. The transcript has 2 exons.
GGAAGAGCGGUUGCAGUUCCUAGACCUGGUGGGGUUCUCGUGUGACGAGGGUUACCAGCUGAAGGGCGGGAAAACGCGCUGGUGCGACAAGGACGGCAAGUGGCGAGGCAGGAAGGGCAACAGGGAGCUGCCCACGUGCCUUCCGUUCACUACAGACGUGAGCGGCGGUAACGACACGUGUAUUGACGUCUACUCAGGCUGUAGGAAUUUCGUCUCGUUCUGUUCCCUUGGCAACCUGUACCUCAGAACCAACUGCAGACGGACGUGCGGCUUCUGUUAGAACCGACGCGGAGCGAUCUCAUUGGUCCGAGGAUUGUUACGUCACAGUCAAGCGAUUUUAUUGGUGCACACUUUUGAACGUCACAUUCGAACGAUUUCAUUGGUCAACACUUCGUUACGUCACGUUCGAAACAUUUUAGCAGUCCACACUUUUAUUACGUCACAUUUGAGUGAUAUUAUUGGUCCACACUUCGUUACGUCACUUUCAAGCGAUGUUAUUGGUCAAUACGUUGUUAGGUCACAAAUCAAGGUCUUCAUCGCAUGGACACUGCAGUUUUAUGACCAAUACGAUAUUUCUGCAAAUUACAAGUCUGUUCAUUACGAUUGUCAAUGUGACGUAACAAUGACGACAACCAAUGAGACUGCUCCAUUAUUUCGUCCUUGUAUGAUUGGGUCUACUUUGUAAAAAUGUGGUAUUUAUGUAUCUACAGUAAGUCAAAGAGAUGGUAAGGUUUAACCGAUGACGACAGUAUAGCACUCUUUUCCAAAAUAAGUAACGCUAAUACUUUUCAGAAAAAAGAAGAUACGAAUUUGUUGUCGUAUCAUAUGUCUGGCGACAAGGCAUUUGUAAUAUUUGUAUUAUAAAGUUUCGUCUUAGGUAAAAAGCUCGUAGUUUAGGCGAUUAGUAUACAAAUGCGUGUUGAGUUGCAUGACCAUAUCUGUUGACUAUGAAAGAAUGAGAGGGUAGAUGGGAAUAUGCCAUUGUAUUGUAGUCGUAGCUAAGCAUUAUGAAUGUUUAGUGCCUUGUUCUUGUGUUAACAUAUGUCAAAUUUAACGCCGAGAAAUAUCUUGAUUGUACUAGUAUUGGAUGCGUUGAAAACAUUACCAUGGUUCUCUUUAUAUUAACUGUUCGAUCUAGAGUUGGAACAUGACAAACUUUUAUAUGUUGGAUAUCAUCUACAAAAAUAACAGAUUUUGUACAUCGCUAUUGUAUGCUCGAUUUAAGAUGUUCUUAGUGUAUAAAUUGUAAUGUUUGUGUUAAAUAAAGACUUGUAGUCGUACUCUG